RNAcentral lists this long non-coding RNA (1927 nucleotides) under Gallus gallus (chicken). RNAcentral describes it as "lncRNA (ENSGALG00010003704.1)". Lineage: Eukaryota; Metazoa; Chordata; Aves; Galliformes; Phasianidae. The record is from RNAcentral.
GCCUCAAGGACCCAUCCUGCUUCCUGCCCUUCAGACAAGAGUCACGUUCCAGGGAUGAAUCCGGAGCGUCCCAGCCUGGAUUCUGGGCUUAGGACCAUGGAUGGGGCCAACACGGAUGCAGUGCAUUGAGGUGCUGGGUGAGCACACACAGGGCUGGCGGUGCCCUGGGUGGGAGCAGGCUCAGAACCAGCACCUCCAAUGCCCUCAGCUCUCUGACUAUCAGCUGAGCACACCUCCAUUCCUCCCCGGUCACGCGGUUGUUUCCUUGUAGAUCCGCCUCUCACCCUCGAACAACACUGGAAAGUCCAGAUUGGCAAAAAACAAGUUUGGAGGCAAUGGUUUGUUUAACCGACGGGUACAGUCGGUCUUGUGCUUGUUUUCUGUUUUUUUUUCUCCCCAAACAAGUCUUGAAAUCAAAGGAGAGUGCUUCCAAGCUAAAUACGAGUGGGGAGCAAUUGAGUGCUUAAUGGAGUGGGUAUUGGUCAGGACAUCACAUAAGGGAAACAUAAAUCGUGGUUAAGGAUGCGUGUAGGCAAGGAGGGAGGGAAGGAGAAGAGGAAUGAACUCAGCAUCCCAAAGGAAAGGGAGUCUGGCAGCGUAUAGCUCAUGGGACACGGGUAGAGGGAGGAGUGCAGGACCUGUAGCAAAGGCAUACAAACCUUUACAGCAGCACCGUUUUGCCAGGUUGGCUGGAGGAGCAAACCUGAGGCCUCCAGAUGUGCAAGCAGCAGCUGGGGAUGUGUUAACCCAGAAGGGCUCCUUCCCUGUGUCCCCAGAGCCACCUGCUGCCACUGGGGCUUUCCCAGGAGAUGGCGGUGCUCCUUCAUCCCCUGAAGGCCAAGGGUUGGGUGAUGCUUGACGUUGCACUGCCACUGCUACUUCAGGCUGGAGAUAAGGGAAAAGCUUUCCACCAUGAGCAAUAUCUGUCGUUGGAGGUUUCCAAGACCCACGCAAAGAGGAGAAAGCCCCACUCAACCUGGUCUGAGCCCAGCGCUGCCCAUGCUGUGAGUAGGAUGGUGGAGUUGGGGUCUCCUGUGGUUCCUUCCAACCUGAAUUAUCCCAGCAUCUUCUGCUCAGCGGAUCCCCACAGACCGGGGUCAGAGUGAAGGUGCAAAGCCAUGUCAGCGAUGGAGCAGCCCAGACCUACAGGUAAUGAGGGUCUCCCCUCCACCCUUCAUGAAACCAACUGCUCGGACCGAUCUCUGUUAGGAAGGCAUUGUGUUUUGUGUUAGAGGUCCACGUGGAGAUCCCACUGCCUCCUGCCCGGCUGGUCCUGGUGUUUAACAUUGCUUCUUCCCUGCAGUCUCUGCCCUGUGCAUGACUGUUUGGUGCUUUAUGCAAUUUGAGCUUAGCCAUCCAGUGACCAAAGGGCCCUUUGGCUCACAACACGGGGCCUCAUGUAUGAUCUCCCCUGUAGCAACCAGGGCAGGUCUUUUUGGGAAGGAGAAGCUGAGUCACAAGCAGAAGGUCCCCAGCCUGUUUCAAGUCAAGGGGAAGGCCCUGAGUUUGCAAUGGAGAUGAAUUACACACGAGGUUCCCCAUGGAAAGUAGGUGAUGGUUUUGCUCCCAAUGGGGCUCAUGCAUUAAGCAGGCUGAGCACAGCUUGGGCAGUUGGGACCUGAACCCACCACCACCAUAGAGCUGGGAGCUCACAUGGAAACCGUACAUCAGAACCUACCUCCUCCUGGUUAGAAAGCACCAUGAGGAAGCCCUUUCCCUCAGCCAAGUGCCUGCAGGUGUUUCCUGGUGUUUCCAGGCGUGGGGACUGGCUGGGUUCUCCCUUUCAGUGCGUCAGCUGUGGGGUGGCCUUGGCAAAGCAUUGGGAUGUGCUCGGAGCCUCAGCAAGGACCAAGAGCCUUUAUUUUGGAAUAAAUAAAGACCAUCUGAUAAGAAAAAAACCCAGGAAUAGAAAUUCUGAAGAGUGGGC